AACGACUCUCGGCAACGGAUAUCUCGGCUCUCGCAUCGAUGAAGAACGUAGCGAAAUGCGAUACUUGGUGUGAAUUGCAGAAUCCCGUGAACCAUCGAGUCUUUGAACGCAAGUUGCACCGGAAGCUAUUAGGCUGAGGGCACGUUUGCCUGGC
This 154-nucleotide ribosomal RNA is filed under the name Kalanchoe arborescens. Its description in RNAcentral is "5.8S ribosomal RNA". It matches the Rfam family "5.8S ribosomal RNA". Rfam says of the family: 5.8S ribosomal RNA (5.8S rRNA) is a component of the large subunit of the eukaryotic ribosome. It is transcribed by RNA polymerase I as part of the 45S precursor that also contains 18S and 28S rRNA. The record is from RNAcentral. Lineage: Eukaryota; Viridiplantae; Streptophyta; Magnoliopsida; Saxifragales; Crassulaceae.